GGUAAGGCCCUUUCGGGGGUACACGAGUGGCGAACGGGUGAGUAACACGUGGGUAAUCUGCCCUGCACUUCGGGAUAAGCCUGGGAAACCGGGUCUAAUACCGGAUAUGAGCUCCUGCCGCAUGGUGGGGGUUGGAAAGUUUUUCGGUGCAGGAUGAGUCCGCGGCCUAUCAGCUUGUUGGUGGGGUAAUGGCCUACCAAGGCGACGACGGGUAGCCGGCCUGAGAGGGUGAUCGGCCACACUGGGACUGAGACACGGCCCAGACUCCUACGGGAGGCAGCAGUGGGGAAUAUUGCACAAUGGGCGGAAGCCUGAUGCAGCGACGCCGCGUGGGGGAUGACGGUCUUCGGAUUGUAAACUCCUUUCAGUAGGGACGAAGCGAGAGUGACGGUACCUGCAGAAGAAGCACCGGCCAACUACGUGCCAGCAGCCGCGGUAAUACGUAGGGUGCAAGCGUUGUCCGGAAUUACUGGGCGUAAAGAGCUCGUAGGCGGUUUGUCGCGUCGUCUGUGAAAUCCUCCAGCUCAACUGGGGGCGUGCAGGCGAUACGGGCAGACUUGAGUACUACAGGGGAGACUGGAAUUCCUGGUGUAGCGGUGAAAUGCGCAGAUAUCAGGAGGAACACCGGUGGCGAAGGCGGGUCUCUGGGUAGUAACUGACGCUGAGGAGCGAAAGCAUGGGGAGCAAACAGGAUUAGAUACCC
Molecule: ribosomal RNA, 703 nt
Filed under: Actinomycetes bacterium
Lineage: Bacteria; Bacillati; Actinomycetota; Actinomycetes
Description: bacterial SSU rRNA
Rfam family: Bacterial small subunit ribosomal RNA
Source: RNAcentral